AGGGUGGUGGUGUUUGGGUGGGUUAAGUUUCUUCUAAGAUGGUCUACCUGUUGGGAAACUGUUUUAUGUCUCUACCCAAAGACUGACUAUUGAGUGUCAGGAGGAAAGGGAGAGACUGCAAUGCAAUCUGUGAGCCACACCAGGCUGCCCUACCAGCGGUUGUGUGCCUAGUAGCCCCCACUCCCAGCCCGACUCAUUUCCAGCUCCUAGGGGGGUUUGUCACUUUGCUGGUUAUUGCUAUGUAUCCAUCCUGAAGUGGCAGCUCCAGUUGUGCUUCCCCAGUAAUUUCCAAGAUGCUAAUUGCCACCUGCUGAUUUCCUGUAAACACUGUACUUUACAUAUGUGAUUAAUCAGAGAGCUGUGGACUGUUCUGAGGAAGUGUGUGUGUGUGUGUGUGUGCGCACACGCGCUCAUGCAUUUCAUUACUGUAAUGGAGUUAAAUCACAGGCAAUGUUUGCUCACAAAGCUGAAUUCACAAAAUGGCAGGGAAAACACAAUUACAAGAUAUCAUAAACUGCAAGUUCACAAACUGUAUAAACAACAACCAGAGUCAGCCAACAAUUCACCAGCUAAAUUCUAGAACUGAGUAUGAGGAAGGCAGCCUCUCCAAAGGAGACUGAAUGACAGGUGCUUGUGUUCCUUGAGGAAACCAAACCUGAAAACAUUUUCAAAGGUUUUGGGGAAAGUACAUUCUCUUUAGAUCCAAGAUCAACCUUGUAGGAGUGGGCUGGUGGCUCAGUGGGUUAAGGAUCCAGGGUUGUCACUGCUGUGGCAUGGGUUCGAUCCCUGGCCCAGGAACUUCCACACUUACAAAAUUAAAAAAGAAGGAAGGAAGGAAGGGGAAAGGGAAGGGAAGGGAAGAGAAGAAGGGAGGGAAGGAAGAAGGAGGGGAGGAAAAGGAAAGAAGGAAGGAAGGAAAGGGAAGGGAAGGAAAGGAAAGAAAAAAAAGAGGAGUUCCCAUCAUGGUUCAGCAGAAACUAAUCUGACUGGUAUCCAUGAGAAUGCAGGUUCGAUCCCUGGCCUUGCUCGGUGGGUUAAGGAUCUGGCCUUGCCGUGAGCUGUGGUGUAGGUCACAGACGUGGCUCGGGUCUGGCGUGGUUGUGGCUCUGGCAUAGGGCAGCAGCAACAGCGCCAAUUAGAUCCCUAACCUGGGAACCUCCAUAUGCUACGGGUGUGAAGACAAAAAGACAAAAAGACAAAAAAAAAAAAAAAAAGAAAGAAAAGAAAGGAAGGAAGAAGGAAGAAAUCAACCUUGUGCUAAAUCCUAGCUCUUUCAAUGACUACCUGUAACAUCCAUGCAAAUUACUUGGGCCUUCAAACCUGCAUUUCCUCACCUGUAAAAUGGAGAUGAUAAUUUCUAAGUUACCUAACAUAGCAUGUAAAUGCUUAUUACAUAUAUUAGUCAGGAUUGUAUGGGUUGUAAGUGACAGAAACUUCAUUCAAAGUGGUUUCGGUAAAACAAGAAAUAUAUUGGCUCAAAAUAUGAAAAAGACCAGGGCCUCCAGCUUUUGGUCUAUGAGCUCAAAUGACGACUUUAGAACUCUAAGGCACCCUCUCCACCCUUUGGCCCUGCUUUCCUCUGUCUGGACCUCACUCUCAGGUAGCCUUAUCUUUGGCAAGCUAGUAGACGAGCCAACAGCUCCCUGCAUAUGUCUUAUCUUCUCAGCAACUACAGAACUGGGAGAGCUAGCUCCUAACUUGGGAAAUGACCCACUAGCCCAUUCUCAGAUCACAUAGUUGAGUAGGGAAGUGUCUACUCCCUUACACCUACUCAAACCCCGGAAAUACACACAUAACCAGCCACAUACACAAAGACACAGCUGGACAUCGGCCCCCCAAACCAAAUGAGAAGGCUGAAGGGCAGCCAGCCCCAUUUGACAUUGUUCAUAAGAGAAAAAAAAAAAAUUAGAAGUCCAUCAUCGGGAUCUGAGUCCCAGGACUGAUACUCAACCCUCAGUAUAAGCAGAUGUGCUGAGGGACAAGAGAGAGAAGUCUCCUCAACUCUGAGGAGCUGGUCAGCCCUUCCUGCACACGCUCACAUGGGAUGCACUGGCUUCAGUCCUAGGCCAACAGGGGAAAGGGGGUAGCUCACAGACUGGGACCCAGGCACAUAUGGCCAAGGUAAUCAUUUGCCUUUUUCUGUUUCCUCCUCUCUGAGAGCUUACUGCCUUUCCUACAAGAAAUUCUCAUAGUAUUCCAGCCAGCAGUCCUGGUCUUGAAGGUACAGGGCCCAUUGCUCUACCUAAUCACCAGCCCCUUUAUUUGGCCUUGUCCCCACAACGGCAAGAUGGGGCCCUCUGCCCCUUCCUUUCCCUUGGUCCACCUCAACUUUUCCUUUGACAUAGAGAGGGUCUUUAUUAUUUUCAGGGGGGCUUCACCUGCAGCAUAUGGAGGUUCCCAGGCUAGGGGUCAAAUUAGAGCUGUAGCCACCAGCUUAUGCCACAGCCACAGCAAUGUGGGAUCUGAGCCACAUGUGCCACCUACACUACAGGUCACAGUAAUGCUGGAUCCCCAACCCGCUGAGCAAGGCCAGGGAUUGUAUCCACAUCCUCAUGGAUACUAGCUGGAUUCAUUAACCACUGAGCCACAAUGGGAACUCCAAAGAGAGUCUUUAGAGUUUGAUAAUGUAUCAAAGUUAUCCUGUGAGAGCUGAUGCAUAUUAGCCACAGGGUUUCAUGGUCUUUAGGUAUCUUGCUCUAAAAAAUACGAGAAUCCAGGGCAAAUGGGGCUUCUCAGGACAGAUUAAAAAGAGCAGGUGUAUACAAAGGCCAGAGAGCUUACUAGAAAAGAAUGGAGGAACAGAUGCCAAGAUAAAGGGGGCUUCCUGGAGUCUACGAGAGGCAAACAUAGCCUGACUGAAAAGGAAUACACAUAAAACAGAGUGGAAAUAUCAGUAGCAGCAUCUAGACACUGGACUCCCUUCCUGACCAGCUAUGAGGAAUACUGAAGUUCUCUGCCUGGUGAAGUGAGCUUAUUCACCUUGUCACUGUGGGUUUGAGUAACAGAGUUGGAUACCAGUAUAAAGUGAUGGAAAAGAACACAGCCUUGGAUUCAGACCACCUGGAUCAGAACCCAGGAUCCUCCACUCCACAGCAAAAUCAUCUUGGGCAUGUUACUUGACUUCCCUGUGCCUCAGUGUCCUUGUUGGUAAAUGAGGAUAAUAAUGGCAUCUUCCUCCCAGGAUGACCAUGAGAAAGAAAUUAGUUCACAUCUAUAACUAGCUCCUAAAAACUGAAUCUGGCUCAUAAUAACACUGAAUACAUAUUAGCAAUUCUACAAGCAGCAACCUGGACUCCUUUCCUUCAGGGAAGUAUUCUCCAUGUCUACAGCUACAUGGUUGAUUGGGUGAUUACCCAGGGUGAGUGUUGGGUCUCUCCAUGGACUCCCCAGAAGCAAAGGUUUUUUGUUUGUUUGUUUGUUUUGCUUUGUUUUGUUUUUUUUGUCUUUUUAGGGCUGCACCCAUGGCAUAUAGAGGUUCCCAGGCUAAAGGUCGAAUAGGAGCUAUAGCUGCUGGCCUACAACACAGCUGCAGCAACACCAGAUCCAAGCUGUGUCUACACCGGUUCCUUAACCCACUGAGUGAGGCCAGGGAUCAAACCUGUGUCCUUAUGGAUGCUAGUCAGAUUCCUUUCAGCUGAGCCACGACGGGAACUCCCCCAAGGAGUUUUGAUUUCCUUACAAACUUGCUCUUGUGCAUUUGAUUUUCUGAUGGGGAGGGAUUUUUCCUCUGUUUGUCAGUCCCGGAACAAGCCCUUCUGUUGGCUGACUCUGAAAAUGGGGAAAGGUCGGCAGCACACUUUUCUUGCCUUCAGGCUAAGAAGACUCAGCACCGUCAAUUACAAGAGGUGAGCUGAGUUGGUCACAGGAGGGCAUAAAUGGACAUCAGGCUCUACUAACAAUGAGGAAGCAGCAUCACAAAGCAGGCACUGGGGUCAGUGACAGGUGCUCCCAGAACUCCAGCGGCAAAGGCUAUAGAACUUGGAAGGGUUAUCAUCCACGCAUGGAGAUGAGGAUGGAGAUUAUCUACAGCCUGGCUCAAGCAAACUUUGCUGAAGGCUUGUUUGCAGCUGUUGUAGCUCAGGGUAUCUCGUCAAGGUCAUCUUCACAUUCGGCACCUCCAACCUCCUUCUCCUUCGCCAAUGGAUCCACUCAGGGCACUCUGGUCCAUUGCCUGUACUCUACUCCCACUCACCUCCAGAAGAUUCUUUUUUCUCUAUCAAGUCAAUUCCUGCUCAUUCCUCAAGUUUAACUAAAUUUCAGUCUCCUUCAGAAAGUUUGCUUUGACCCACUUUCAAACACACUGAACUGACAGAAUCAGGUGGAAUUAUGCACUGUCUUACGGCAGCUCUUCUACCAAAGCCUUGCAGGACAGCAAAAAAAAAAAAAAAAAAAAAAAAAAUCAUUGGUUUUACCUGUAUAGCAUCCUUUUUUACUUUUUAAAAUUUUAUUGGAGCAUAAUUGACUUACAAUGUGUUCGUUUCAGGCGUAAAGCAAAGUGAAUCAGUUGUACAUAUAUCCAUUCUUUUUUUCCCCAUAGAGGUUAUUACAGAAUAUUGAGAUUUCCCCAUGCUAUACAGUAGGUCCUUGUUAGUUAUCUAUUGUACAUACAGUAGUGCUUAUAUAUUAUUCCCAUACCUACCUUUUUAUAUUAUAGUUGAUUUACAAUGGUCUGUCAAUUUCUGCUGUUCAGUAAAGUAACCCAGUUAUACAUAUUAUUUUUUUUUCUCACAUUAUCCUCCAUUACGUUCCAUCACAAGUGAUUAGAUAUAGUUCCCUGUGCUUUAGUCCUUCUUCUGGUAGCAACACCUGCUCGAUUUUUCUUUGGGAGAAAAGCCUUUCCAAAUUCUUGGUCCAUGUAGCUGCUGGAGGAGGUCAUCAAAAGGACAUGACUGCCUGUUGUCCCUGGAGCUGGACCAGGGCAAUCAGAGGCUCCUCACCCCCUUCCCCGUCCUUGGAAUGUGCCUUCUGCCCACCAGUCCCACAGGGGGAGCCGUUUCAAGGAUGCAGCCUUG
This 5012-nucleotide long non-coding RNA is filed under the name Sus scrofa (pig). RNAcentral describes it as "lncRNA (ENSSSCG00040012701.1)". Lineage: Eukaryota; Metazoa; Chordata; Mammalia; Artiodactyla; Suidae. The record is from RNAcentral.